This 270-nucleotide ribosomal RNA is filed under the name uncultured prokaryote. Its description in RNAcentral is "partial 16S ribosomal RNA". It matches the Rfam family "Archaeal small subunit ribosomal RNA", at positions 474 to 743 of the family's 1478-position model. The record is from RNAcentral.
CACCAGCGCCACAAGUGGCAACCGCUUUUAUUGGGCCUAAAGCGUCCGUAGCCGGUUUAGUAAAUUUCCUGUGAAAUCGUUGGGCUUAACCUAACGGCAUGCAGGAAAGACUACUAAACUAGAGACCGGGAGGCGUCAGAGGUAUUCCGGAGGGAGCGGUAAAAUGCUAUAAUCUCCGGAGGACCACCAGUGGCGAAGGCGUCUGACGAGAACGGAUCCGACGGUGAGGGACGAAAGCUAGGGGAGCAAACCGGAUUAGAUACCCCCGUA